AAGAUCUCCAUCAGCCUCUUCAGAGACCUGAUGAAGAUGGUGGUGCGGAACAACAAGAGGGAGAUGAAGAACACGGUGCAAUGUGGCCUGCUCCCUCUCUUCUUCCGCAUGAGUGACCAAGUGCAGAGCGUGGCCAAGGUACAGAUUUCAAAGCUGAGCAGUAAUGCAGGGAAGAGACCCCUGGGCGUUUGGGCCAGGGCAUGUCCCCACUCCCUAAGGGCAGAAUCGCCCCAGGAACAAAGCCCAGAGCAAGGGGACACCAGGUCUCCUGCCCCAACCGUGGUGCCAUCUCCCAGCUUCUCCUGUUCCACAGGCCGCUGGGGAAGCCCUCCUCGGUGCAGCAGAGCUGCUCAGGUGGAAACAGCUCAAACAGCUGGUGCAGACAGAGCAGACAUGGCGGAUUGGAGAGAGCUUGCUGGAGCGGGACAGGAGCAGAGCUCAAGAGCUCUUGAGUCAGAGCCUGCCGUACCUGAGGGAUGCUCAGGCCAGCUCACGAGAGGCGGCCGUGAGGUUCAUCGGUGAGUCACAGCCCCCAGGUCCCUCUUUCGGCAGCCUGGCCCCAGUCCCCGCCGCUGCUCUGGCACAAGGAGCAGCCCUGUGGCUGCCAGAGCCCCAGCUGCCCCGUGCAGGGCCUUGGCCUCCCCUCCCAGCCCUGCCCACGCAGGUGGCCUUGGUGGCCACCUUGCCCGGUGCCACCAUCUCGGCUCCUGCUCUCCCCUGGGCUCAGCCCUGGUGAGGGGAGGGAGCAGGGGCUGACGGAACUCUGUGCCCAGGGCUGGCUGCGCGGCCCCUGAGGGACCGAAGGGAGGAGGAGGAGCUGGCUGAGAUCUGCAGCGCCCUUCAGCCCUUGGAGCAGGACAGUGAACCCUCCAUCUGCUCCCUGGCAGCCCAGACCAUCCGCAUCCUGGGCAACCCAAGGGAGCAGCCACGAUCGCGAUGGACCCUGCGAGGCCUGUGCUGCUGGCCCCGCUAAACCCAGCGGAGGUGCAGCUCUUCUCGGGAGGAGGGCUGGAUUUAAUAAAGCUGGAGGAGAAUGCCAAAGCCCUGGUGUCCUUCAGCUGUGCAGCGCCCUGAGCGUGCUGAGCAGACGGUGUCGUUCCUGGGCUCUCCCGCUGCCGCAGGACGUCUGUCCCUCAGCACAGCCUGGUUCCAGGUGUAGUUACGGUGCCGGCGGGCGGGCGCUUGCUGGCCCCCAGGCCCUGCCCUGCAGGGGGAGGCAGAAGGCCGUGCGGGCAUGGGGGCAGCAAAGACACGCAGUUAUACAGCAGGGCUGGUCCCAGCGCCCCAGGAGCUGUUUCCCACUGUUUGCCCUCAGCUCCCGCCAUCCCCCGAGGGUUUCCAC
Columba livia (rock pigeon) is the source of this 1342-nucleotide long non-coding RNA. RefSeq lists it as uncharacterized. The transcript has 3 exons. NCBI's taxonomy places the organism in Eukaryota, Metazoa, Chordata, Aves, Columbiformes, Columbidae. The record is from RefSeq and is a predicted model, not a curated record.